UCCGAGUUGACCCCGGCAGUCUCCCAUGAGUCCCCAACUAAAUGCUGGCAACAUGGAACGAGGGUUGCGCUCGUUGCGGGACUUAACCCAACAUCUCACGACACGAGCUGACGACAGCCAUGCACCACCUGUACACCAGUGUCCAAAGAGACCCACAUCUCUGCAGGCUUCUGGCGUAUGUCAAACCCAGGUAAGGUGGGGAUGACGUUACGGUCUUACU
RNAcentral lists this unclassified non-coding RNA (220 nucleotides) under uncultured Nocardioidaceae bacterium. RNAcentral describes it as "contains 16S-23S intergenic spacer region". The record is from RNAcentral. Lineage: Bacteria; Bacillati; Actinomycetota; Actinomycetes; Propionibacteriales; Nocardioidaceae.